CUGCGAGAAAUCUCAUCUCCGCAAAAUCCAAUUGAAAUCUGCCGACUUUACUUCUUCAAUCAGGGCCGUCCAUUCAGCAGACAGAAAUGCAGCUUCGAGAAUUCCUCCUCAAAGACCAGGGCUGUCAAAUCCCCCGGGGAAAACACAGGAGCUGUGUCCGGAGUUUCUGCCUCGUAGAGUAGGUGACUGACAUUGUUGGAGGUGCUCUUCGUUGGAGGCGUUGCCUGGAUCAUCUGAUACUGUCACUUUGCAAUGACGAGAACAUGUUUAGAGGGAUGGAGCCACUUCUCUUAUGAAUCCUUUGAAUUGGUUUCUAUGAGAUUUUCAAUCUGGAUAUGCCACCAUAUGCUGUUGUGGAUGAGGUGAGAAUGUAAGGCUUGCAAAGGUAGCACUUAGGCCUGUUAUGGGUAACAUGUUGAACGGAAUGCUAUGGAAGCUACAUUUACUCAAGAAAAAAAAAACUCACUUCCACUGCCCAAACUGGAAGGCGAUGAACGUGCAAAAGCACGCUCUCUAGCAACUAGUUAUUCACAUCUAGUGGUACGUUUGUCAUUGCACCUUCCAUUCUUUUUUGAAGAAAUUUUAUUUCAGAAAGAAAGGUUUUCACAUUUUCAUUCACUAAAUUUAUUAUUGAGAAAUUCUACCAUGUCCGCAUGCUUCAUGGAGUUCUGCAAAGUGUACAUCAGAAUAUGUCCAAUGUACGUAUGGUACCUGUGCAUGGUGAUCAGCCUAUCGAUUUUGUGGACCCAAAAAGCAAUGGUACCUGACUGUUCUAGGCUUCUAGCUAGACAUCUGCUCAGUGGCCUGAAGAGGACAAUUAACCCAAAAAGAGCAACUGUACAUGUUCAGUGAGAAAAACUUGCAAUAAUUUGGUGGUCAAAAUUGUUGAAAAAUGGUUAUGCCGAUAUUCUAACCAUAUUGUGGCCAAUGAGAUCAAUGGUACCGGUCAGCACAGACGUUUGCCAUGUGUAAGGACACUUCACAAAUGUGUGUUUCUAUGGCAAAGCUGUCUUGAUGUCAUAAACAAAACACUCUGAAUCAUGCUUCACCACAAGUGUGUGUCUUUAACUCUAUAUAGCAUUCUAUCUGUAAUAUCAAAGCCUGAUCUCUUUUAUGUGUAAACUGAAGAACUUCCACUUUUUGCUAUAGUUGUGCAUAUAACAAGGCUGAAUAAUGUUAGAUGAGGAGUCAUCAUCUGCAACUGAAAUGUUGCUUGCAACCUCAUCCAUUGCUUAUUUAGCAGUGUGUAGGACAUUCGAGCAGUUAUGUAUGCUCCAUCACGAAGAUCACCUGUCACACAAAUCAGGUCUGUUGCUCAUCAGGCGAACACCCUAUAUGGAAACAACACAUGAUGUUCUGAUUCAACUUGUACUUGUGUCCCACCUGAUGGCUGGAUUGGCCUGAUUAUUGUCCUGGGUGAUCAUGGUCGUGCCGCCUUAAACAUGGCCCAGAUUUCCUAAGUCCUACAUGUGUGUUACAAUGGCAUUUCAGCGAAUUUCCAUGCGAUGAUCACAUGAAACUGGUUUUGGUGAUCAGUCAUCAUGUCAAUUAAUUAUUAUGGAGAUGCUCAUGCUCAAUUUUCUGUUAUCCAGUGGAUGGUUAGUCAGUGGAUAAAAUAUCUUGGGUCAGAGGAAGACACGAGGCUUAUGAUUUGGAAUAAUAGUGAUCCCAGUUUCAGCCUCAGGGAAAACAGUUCGAAAGGUUUUACAAGAGCUGACCUUGUUGAGCAGCUGACAAUAAUGAAGGUAAGCAGGGAUUGAAUGUGAGACCUCAAUGUUGAAAUGCACUGUCUACCAUUGAGCUACGGGCUUGAAUCAUGGAAAAGACAUGAUUAUAAAGACAUUGUGAAUUAACUUUGAAUUUUGGAGGUGCAUUUAUGGUAAGGUGAAGCGUUGGUAUGCCUUUAUUUACCUGAUAAAGUUGGAUGCUUGCUUAGUCAUGAUUUCAUCCAUGUGACAGAUAUGAAAGAUGGGUGAGUGAACAAUUCUUGCUUAAUAAAGUUGGAGUUUUGUAGGAAGUUCAGCAGCAUCAGCUAAAAUCAAAUCAACCUAAAUUCAUCUGGGAAUUGGUUUACAGAAUUGAACUUAUAGGGCUUGAAGUAACAGCUCUUUAUU
Magnolia sinica is the source of this 2114-nucleotide long non-coding RNA. RefSeq lists it as uncharacterized. The transcript has 8 exons. The record is from RefSeq and is a predicted model, not a curated record. Lineage: Eukaryota; Viridiplantae; Streptophyta; Magnoliopsida; Magnoliales; Magnoliaceae.